UAUUUAAGAUCUCCCUAUGUAGCCCAGGGCAUCUUGAAACUCCCUGUACUAAGGUCAAACUCAUAAGACUGAUUUAUGUUUUUAUUCUAAAUUCUGAUUUGUUUUGUUCUUUUAGAGAUAUUAUCGACAGCAUAUAUCUGGAAGAAGCAGAGAGUAGCAUUGUGUUUUUUUGCAUACAGCCAGCCCCAAGAAGUCUCCAAGCAGAGACCAAAGAAGCUUUGAGGAAGGAAGGAGGUUGAGAGCAGAGUUGCACCAGGCCGUUCAGAAGGGACAUCUUGAAGAGAACUCCUGGUUCUGGAGAAAGUAAGGUAAGUUCAGUGGACAGCCAAAAACCUCAUGUGAAAUCCUCUCACAGAAACAUCACCGGACUGCAAAAUCAAUG
Molecule: long non-coding RNA, 382 nt
Filed under: Rattus norvegicus (Norway rat)
Lineage: Eukaryota; Metazoa; Chordata; Mammalia; Rodentia; Muridae
Description: long non-coding RNA NONRATT032577
Source: RNAcentral